Molecule: transfer RNA, 91 nt
Filed under: Armatimonadota bacterium
Lineage: Bacteria; Bacillati; Armatimonadota
Description: Armatimonadetes bacterium (rhizosphere metagenome) tRNA-Ser
Rfam family: tRNA
About the family: Transfer RNA (tRNA) molecules are approximately 80 nucleotides in length. Their secondary structure includes four short double-helical elements and three loops (D, anti-codon, and T loops). Further hydrogen bonds mediate the characteristic L-shaped molecular structure. tRNAs have two regions of fundamental functional importance: the anti-codon, which is responsible for specific mRNA codon recognition, and the 3' end, to which the tRNAs corresponding amino acid is attached (by aminoacyl-tRNA synthetases). tRNAs cope with the degeneracy of the genetic code in two manners: having more than one tRNA (with a specific anti-codon) for a particular amino acid; and 'wobble' base-pairing, i.e. permitting non-standard base-pairing at the 3rd anti-codon position.
Source: RNAcentral
GGAACGGUGUCCGAGCUGGUCUAAGGAGCACGACUGGAAAUCGUGUAAUGGGGCCUACCCCCAUUCGUGGGUUCGAAUCCCACCCGUUCCG